GUUAUAUUAGAGAUCGCCCUAAUUGACAAUGGUCACGAGAAGAGGGGGAUUAGAAGCUUGCUUCAUGACGUUAGGAGGCGGACGGGUGAGUAACACGUGGGCAACCUGCCUGUAAGACUGGGCUAACUUCGGGAAACCGAAGCUAAUACCGGAUAGGAUCUUCUCCUUCAUGGGAGAUGAUUGAAAGAUGGUUUCGGCUAUCACUUACAGAUGGGCCCGCGGUGCAUUAGCUAGUUGGUGAGGUAACGGCUCACCAAGGCAACGAUGCAUAGCCGACCUGAGAGGGUGAUCGGCCACACUGGGACUGAGACACGGCCCAGACUCCUACUGGAGGCAGCAGUAGGGAAUCUUCCGCAAUGGACGAAAGUCUGACGGAGCAACGGCGCGUGAGCGAUGAAGGCUUUCGGGUCGUAAAACUCUGUUGUUAGGGAAGAACAAGUACGAGAGUAACUGCUCGUACCUUGACGGUACCUAACAAGAAAGCCUCGGCUAACUACGUGCCAGCAGCCGCGGUAAUACGUAGGUGGCAAGCGUUAUCCAGGAAUUAUUGGGCGUAAAGCGCGCGCAGGCGGUUUCUUAAGUCUGAUGUGAAAGCCCACGGGUCAACCGUGGUAGGGUCAUUUGGAACUCGGGGAACUUGAGUGCAGAAAAGAAAAGCGGGAUUCCACGUGUAGCGUUGUAAUGCGUACAGAUGUUGAAGGACCACCAAGUGGCGUAGGCGGCUUUUUUGGUCUGUAUCUGACGCUUGAGGCCCGAAGCCGUGGGGAGCCAAACAGAUU
Molecule: ribosomal RNA, 779 nt
Filed under: Priestia megaterium
Lineage: Bacteria; Bacillati; Bacillota; Bacilli; Caryophanales; Bacillaceae
Description: bacterial SSU rRNA
Rfam family: Bacterial small subunit ribosomal RNA
Source: RNAcentral